This 300-nucleotide ribosomal RNA is filed under the name uncultured Rubrobacter sp. RNAcentral's name for it is "bacterial SSU rRNA". It matches the Rfam family "Bacterial small subunit ribosomal RNA", at positions 496 to 795 of the family's 1533-position model. The record is from RNAcentral. Lineage: Bacteria; Bacillati; Actinomycetota; Rubrobacteria; Rubrobacterales; Rubrobacteraceae.
GCUAACUACGUGCCAGCAGCCGCGGUAAUACGUAGGUGGCAAGCGUUGUCCGGAAUCAUUGGGCGUAAAGAGCGCGUAGGUGGCUUGUCAGGUCUGGUGUGAAAUUUCGGGGCUCAACCCCGAACCUGCAUCGGAAACCGGCUUGCUAGAGUCUGGGAGAGGAGAGUGGAAUUCCUGGUGUAGCGGUGAAAUGCGUAGAUAUCAGGAGGAACACCGGUAGCGAAGGCGGCUCUCUGGAACAGUACUGACGCUGAGGCGCGAAAGCUAGGGGAGCGAACAGGAUUAGAUACCCCAGUAGUC